RNAcentral lists this ribosomal RNA (267 nucleotides) under uncultured prokaryote. RNAcentral's name for it is "partial 16S ribosomal RNA". It matches the Rfam family "Bacterial small subunit ribosomal RNA", at positions 524 to 789 of the family's 1533-position model. The record is from RNAcentral.
UACGUAGGUGGCGAGCGUUAUCCGGAAUUAUUGGGCGUAAAGAGCGCGCAGGUGGUUGAUUAAGUCUGAUGUGAAAGCCCACGGCUUAACCGUGGAGGGUCAUUGGAAACUGGUCGACUUGAGUGCAGAAGAGGGAAGUGGAAUUCCAUGUGUAGCGGUGAAAUGCGUAGAGAUAUGGAGGAACACCAGUGGCGAAGGCGGCUUCCUGGUCUGUAACUGACACUGAGGCGCGAAAGCGUUGGGGAGCAAACAGGAUUAGAUACCCGU